Molecule: ribosomal RNA, 466 nt
Filed under: uncultured bacterium
Lineage: Bacteria
Description: bacterial SSU rRNA
Rfam family: Bacterial small subunit ribosomal RNA
Source: RNAcentral
UUCCAGACUCCUACGGGAGGCAGCAGUGAGGAAUAUUGGUCAAUGGGCGAGAGCCUGAACCAGCCAAGUCGCGUGAGGGAAGACGGUCCUAUGGAUUGUAAACCUCUUUUGCCGGGGAGCAAAAAGCGGUACGUGUACCGCAUCGAGAGUACCCGGAGAAAAAGCAUCGGCUAACUCCGUGCCAGCAGCCGCGGUAAUACGGAGGAUGCGAGCGUUAUCCGGAUUUAUUGGGUUUAAAGGGUGCGCAGGCGGCGAGUUAAGUCAGGGGUAAAAUUUCGGGGCUCAACCCCGGCGAGCCGUUGAAACUGGCUGUCUUGAGAUGUCGAGAGGUAUGCGGAAUGCGCAGUGUAGCGGUGAAAUGCUUAGAUAUUGCGCAGAACUCCGAUUGCGAAGGCAGCAUACCGGCGGCGAUCUGACGCUGAGGCACGAAAGCGUGGGUAUCGAACAGGAUUAGAUACCCUCGUAC